UAGAGUUUGAUCCUGGCUCAGUUCGGAUUGGAGUCUGCAACUCGACUCCAUGAAGCUGGAAUCGCUAGUAAUCGUGGAUCAGCACGCCACGGUGAAUACGUUCCCGGGCCUUGUACACACCGCCCGUCAAGCCAUGGGAGUUGGUUCUACCUGAAGGCGGUGCGCUAACCAGCAAUGGAGGCAGCCGACCACGGUAGGGUCAGCGACUGGGGUGAAGUCGUAACAAGGUAGCCGUAA
This 237-nucleotide ribosomal RNA is filed under the name uncultured bacterium. Its description in RNAcentral is "partial 16S ribosomal RNA". It matches the Rfam family "Bacterial small subunit ribosomal RNA", at positions 1271 to 1505 of the family's 1533-position model. The record is from RNAcentral.